UUCGCAAUGCCCGAAAGGGUGACGAAGCGACGCCGCGUGGGUGAGGAAGGCCUUCGGGUUGUAAAGCCCUGUCAGGAGUUAAGAAAUGUAAGUGUGCUAAUAUCGCAUUUACUUGACGAAGGCUCCAAAGGAAGUCACGGCUAACUCUGUGCCAGCAGCCGCGGUAAUACAGAGGUGGCAAGCGUUGUUCGGAAUUAUUGGGCGUAAAGAGCACGUAGGUGGGUUUGUAAGUCAGAUGUGAAAGCCUCCUGUUCAACGGGAGAAUUGCAUCUGAAACUGCAGAUCUUGAGUGUAGGAGGGGAGAGUGGAACUUCUGGUGGAGCGGUGAAAUGCGUAGAUAUCAGAAGGAACGUCGGCGGCGAAAGCGACUCUCUGGCCUAUUACUGACACUGAGGUGCGAAAGUUAGGGGAGCAAACGGGAUUAGAUACCCCGGUAGUCCUAACCGUAAACGAUGGGCACUAAGUAGAGGGGUUUU
This 476-nucleotide ribosomal RNA is filed under the name uncultured anaerobic ammonium-oxidizing bacterium. RNAcentral describes it as "bacterial SSU rRNA". It matches the Rfam family "Bacterial small subunit ribosomal RNA", at positions 365 to 832 of the family's 1533-position model. The record is from RNAcentral.